Molecule: long non-coding RNA, 659 nt
Organism: Dermacentor albipictus
Lineage: Eukaryota; Metazoa; Arthropoda; Arachnida; Ixodida; Ixodidae
Source: RefSeq, a predicted model, not a curated record
GGCGUCGGUCCACAAUUCUGCCUUCAGGGAUGUAAGCCCCCUUUUUUCGUGGGUGUUUUAACGAUUCUGUACGAGAAGACAAACCUGAAACACCAGCGCAAGACGAAACAAGCGUUAGAGAAGCUGCGGAAUCUAGCCGGCAUCUGUGUAAGCUCCUGAGCACAACCUGCCAUGGGCGGAACCCGACGUCGACGAUGACGUUCCGGCCGAUACGCACCGAUGCACACGGGCACACACGAGUGGUCACAUUGGCACGAUUGAUAUGACGAGUGAGGGCGUGAAUCACGUCAUGCAGCUUCUACCUUUCGGGUUACAACUUUUUCGAAAAUGCCAUAAAGUGAGUGAAAGAAUGUUGCCUGCUCGUGCGUGGAGGGCUUCCCGUGGCUCAUGAUGAAACAACGGGGGAAGGACAACAGAGCCAGGUUCCGUUUCCCAGCACACAAGAUCGACAUGUCGUGUCCUGCACGCAUCUGUCGGGCAAAAACAAUGCUGGUGUUUCGUGCGUCAUCGCCGGGCCAAGCAUCAAUACACAUGGUGGCCCACUGUAUGAGUGAAACCAACAAGCCCCGACAUCAUGCGGAAGCAUGGUAAACACGGAGGCAGCGUAGGCAAGCAAUGGACGCGGCACCACUCGACCAUGGCAGCGCCCACGCAGCCGC